This 253-nucleotide ribosomal RNA is filed under the name uncultured bacterium. RNAcentral's name for it is "partial 16S ribosomal RNA". It matches the Rfam family "Bacterial small subunit ribosomal RNA", at positions 524 to 776 of the family's 1533-position model. The record is from RNAcentral.
UACGUAGGGUGCGAGCGUUAAUCGGAAUUACUGGGCGUAAAGGGUGCGUAGGCGGGCCCUUAAGUCAGUGGUGAAAGCUCCGAGCUUAACUCGGAAACUGCCAUUGAUACUAUAGGUCUUGAAUUCGGUCGAGGUUGGCGGAAUGUGUCGUGUAGCGGUGAAAUGCUUAGAUAUGACACAGAACACCGAUUGCGAAGGCAGCUCACUAGGUCUGGAUUGACGCUCAGGGACGAAAGCGUGGGGAGCAAACAGG